CGAACGGCUGGCAUUCGCCUCCCCG
Molecule: small nuclear RNA, 25 nt
Filed under: Arabidopsis thaliana (thale cress)
Lineage: Eukaryota; Viridiplantae; Streptophyta; Magnoliopsida; Brassicales; Brassicaceae
Description: snRNA_04758
Source: RNAcentral